AUAAGGAAUACGUUGGCAAUUCGUUUAGUUUUGAGUGUUCAAGGAAUACUCAAGCACAAUGAAAACUGAAUAUAUAUAUUAGAUCAAAGAUAAUUUUCUAUAAGUAAAGAAACAGAUUUACAAAACCGAGAAAAAAGUAAGUAAGUUGAAAAACUUAUUCACAAGAGUUCAAGGAAGAAGAACGAAGCGUAAAAGCUACACACGA
Molecule: unclassified non-coding RNA, 205 nt
Filed under: Gemella morbillorum
Lineage: Bacteria; Bacillati; Bacillota; Bacilli; Caryophanales; Gemellaceae
Description: 16S-23S ribosomal RNA intergenic spacer
Source: RNAcentral